GUGUCAGCCGCCGCGGUAAUACGUAGGUGGCAAGCGUUGUCCGGAUUUAUUGGGCGUAAAGGGUGCGUAGGCGGUUUCUUAAGUGUGAUGUGAAAUCCCACGGCUUAACCGGGGGGGGUCAUUGGAAACUGGGUGACUUGAGUGCAGAAGAGGAAAGUAGAAUUCCUAGUGUAGCGGUGAAAUGCGUAGAGAUUAGGAAGAAUACCAGUGGCGAAGGCGGCUUUCUGGACUGCAACUGACGCUGAGGCGUGAAAGCGUGGGGAGCAAACAGGAUUAGAUACCCUGGUAGUCCACGCCGUAAACGAUGAGUGCUAAGUGUUGGAGGGAU
Molecule: ribosomal RNA, 328 nt
Filed under: uncultured bacterium
Lineage: Bacteria
Description: bacterial SSU rRNA
Rfam family: Bacterial small subunit ribosomal RNA
Source: RNAcentral